UAAUUGAAUAGUCCGUUCGAUGAUACUGGUUCUAGGUCAUUCUGUUUUAUUAAUAGUUUGCACAUAUUUAUCUGAUAAAACUUGUCGAUUCCUGGAUGAAGGAACGGUUUUUCUACCUGAGGACUCUGUUACGCGGAGCGUUAUUCUUCGCCGAGAUGCUCGACCCAUUUUCCACAGGAUUGAACACGUCGUACGACAAACGUGAUGCUCGAUCAAGACGCGGAAGGACCGGAGAAGAGCAGGAAUUUGACGGAGUGUAUUAGGACGGUAAACGAGGGAGAAAGGUUCCAUGGGGAAUCGUGCACGCGCGACCGACCGAACCGUACGGUAAGGGAGAGAAGGCCCUUUUCAACGUCGUCUAAUCGUCGCCUGGCCCAGAUUUCUGUCCACGGACGACUUGCAA
Long non-coding RNA from Ceratina calcarata, 403 nucleotides. RefSeq lists it as uncharacterized. NCBI's taxonomy places the organism in Eukaryota, Metazoa, Arthropoda, Insecta, Hymenoptera, Apidae. The record is from RefSeq and is a predicted model, not a curated record. The transcript has 4 exons.